This 414-nucleotide ribosomal RNA is filed under the name uncultured microorganism. Its description in RNAcentral is "bacterial SSU rRNA". It matches the Rfam family "Archaeal small subunit ribosomal RNA", at positions 459 to 872 of the family's 1478-position model. The record is from RNAcentral.
CAGCCGCCGCGGUAAUACCGGCGGCCCGAGUGGCGGUCACUUUUAUUGGGCUUAAAGCGUCCGUAGCCGGGUUGGGAAGUCCUCCGGGAAAUCUGGCCGCUUAACGGUCAGAAUGCCGGAGGAUACUCCCAGCCUAGGGAGCGGGAGAGGCCGAGGGGAUUCCCGGGGUAGGGGUGAAAUCCUAUAAUCCCGGGAGGACCACCGGUGGCGAAGGCGCUCGGCUGGAACGCGUCCGACGGUGAGGGACGAAGGCCAGGGGAGCAAACCGGAUUAGAUACCCGGGUAGUCCUGGCUGUAAACGAUGCGGACUUUGUGUCGGACAAGCUAUGAGCUUGUCCGGUGCCGGAGGGAAACCGUUAAGUCCGCCGCCUGGGGAGUACGGCCGCAAGGCUGAAACUUAGAGGAAUUGGCGGG